This is a long non-coding RNA of Zerene cesonia (dogface butterfly), 416 nucleotides long. RefSeq lists it as uncharacterized. NCBI's taxonomy places the organism in Eukaryota, Metazoa, Arthropoda, Insecta, Lepidoptera, Pieridae. The transcript has 5 exons. The record is from RefSeq and is a predicted model, not a curated record.
CUUCGUGGCGGUACGCUUUGAACGUGUGUUUCAUGUGGUUUUUCUCGAGCCACUGCUUCGUGACGUGUUUAGUGUAUAAAGUAUGUUCUCUCUCUAUGUGUAGUUUUAUUGGUAAUUAAUUUAAAACUUGUAGAAAGUGUCGGUAUAUAAUAUUUAGUGCGGUAUUGGAUAUUACCGGUUGAAAUAAAAACCAUAAAAGUGAAGUGUCGUGUUUGAAGCGUAAUUUGGAGUGAAAACGUAUUAUUGCCACAUUCUGCUGUCAAAGUAAAAACUUGGCGUAGUACCAGCAGUAACGAAUUCUGCCAGCUUUAAUAAGUGACAGAAGUCAAGUCAAGUGGAUGGGACGUCUAUGGAACUGAGGUUCAUUUAAAUGAACAAAUGAAACGAAGCACUUCAACAUAAUAAACAAAAGGUGA